GCCCGGGUGGCGAAAUUGGUAGACGCAAGAGACUUAAAAUCUCUCGACCUUCGGGUUGUGCCGGUUCGAUUCCGGCCCCGGGCACCA
Molecule: transfer RNA, 87 nt
Filed under: Candidatus Thiodiazotropha sp. (ex Lucinoma kastoroae)
Lineage: Bacteria; Pseudomonadati; Pseudomonadota; Gammaproteobacteria; Chromatiales; Sedimenticolaceae
Also listed under: 1 other name
Description: tRNA-Leu
Rfam family: tRNA
About the family: Transfer RNA (tRNA) molecules are approximately 80 nucleotides in length. Their secondary structure includes four short double-helical elements and three loops (D, anti-codon, and T loops).
Source: RNAcentral